GACGAACGCUGGCGGCGUGCUUAACACAUGCAGGUCGUACGGUAAGGCCCUUUCGGGGGUCCACGAGUGGCGAACGGGUGAGUAACACGUGAGUAACCUGCCCACAACUUUGGGAUAACGCUAGGAAACUGGUGCUAAUACUGGAUAUGUGCUCCUGCUGCAUGGUGGGGGUUGGAAAGCUCCGGCGGUUGUGGAUGGACUCGCGGCCUAUCAGCUUGUUGGUGGGGUAGUGGCCUACCAAGGCGGCGACGGGUAGCCGGCCUGAGAGGGUGACCGGCCACAUUGGGACUGAGAUACGGCGCAGACUCCUACGGGAGGCAGCAGUGGGGAAUAUUGCACAAUGGGCGCAAGCCUGAUGCAGCAACGCCGCGGGCGGGAUGACGGCCUUCGGGUUGUAAACCGCUUUCAGCAGGGACGAAGCUUUUUGUGACGGUACCUGCAGAAGAAGCACCGGCUAACUACGUG
RNAcentral lists this ribosomal RNA (465 nucleotides) under uncultured bacterium. RNAcentral describes it as "partial 16S ribosomal RNA". It matches the Rfam family "Bacterial small subunit ribosomal RNA", at positions 28 to 507 of the family's 1533-position model. The record is from RNAcentral.